GGUGUUGUUUGGUGCUUGCAUCAUGAUUUACAUUUGAGUGAGUGGCGAACUGGUGAGUAACACGUGGGGAAA
RNAcentral lists this ribosomal RNA (72 nucleotides) under Lactiplantibacillus plantarum. RNAcentral's name for it is "Lactobacillus plantarum partial 16S ribosomal RNA". The record is from RNAcentral. Lineage: Bacteria; Bacillati; Bacillota; Bacilli; Lactobacillales; Lactobacillaceae.